RNAcentral lists this ribosomal RNA (752 nucleotides) under uncultured eukaryote. RNAcentral describes it as "bacterial SSU rRNA". It matches the Rfam family "Eukaryotic small subunit ribosomal RNA", at positions 682 to 1412 of the family's 1831-position model. The record is from RNAcentral.
UUUCGGCGCAAGCGUGCCGUCGGUCAUGCUCUUAACUGGGUGCGAUUCCGAUGGCAAGAUCGUCGACGUAUCACUUUGAAAAAAUUAGAGUGCUCAAAGCGGGCGAGACGCUUCGCGCGUCGCAUUCGCUCGAACAGGUCAGCAUGGAAUGACGAAAAAGGACCGCGGUUCUAUUCUUCGUCGGGUCUAUAGGACUCGCGGUAACGAUCGAUAGAGACUGACGGGGACAUUCGUAUUGCGACGCUAGAGGUGAAAUUCUUGGACCGUCGCAAGACGCACUACAGCGAAAGCAUUUGUCAAGAAUGCUCUCGUUGAUCAAGAACGAAAGUUGGAGGUUCGAAGGCGAUCAGAUACCGCCCUAGUUCUAACCGUAAACGAUGCCAACCGACGAUUCGUUCGCGUUAAUUUAUUACAAAAUGACCGAACGAGCAGUCUCCGGGAAACCAAAGUCCACGGGUUCCGGGGGAAGUAUGGUUGCAAAUCUGAAACUUAAAGGAAUUGACGGAAGGGCACCACCAGGAGUGGAGCCUGCGGCUUAAUUUGACUCAACACGGGAAAACUCACCCGGCCCGGACACUGUAAAGAUUGACGUAUUAAUAGCUGCUUCUCGAUUCAGUGGGUGGUGGUGCAUGGCCGUUCUUAGUUGGUGGAGCGAUUUGUCUGGUUGAUUCCGAUAACGAACGAGACUCUAGCCUGCUAAAUAGGCGCCCGAUUAACGGCUCGUGGUUGCGCUGUUUAAGCUUCGGCUUUUA